RNAcentral lists this non-coding RNA (46 nucleotides) under Lentisphaera araneosa HTCC2155. RNAcentral describes it as "Acido-Lenti-1 RNA". It matches the Rfam family "Acido-Lenti-1 RNA". The record is from Rfam by way of RNAcentral. Lineage: Bacteria; Pseudomonadati; Lentisphaerota; Lentisphaeria; Lentisphaerales; Lentisphaeraceae.
UCUAGCUCUCACGAGCUAGGCUAAAUCAUGGCGUGCUUUCAGCACU